RNAcentral lists this ribosomal RNA (253 nucleotides) under uncultured bacterium. RNAcentral describes it as "partial 16S ribosomal RNA". It matches the Rfam family "Bacterial small subunit ribosomal RNA", at positions 524 to 776 of the family's 1533-position model. The record is from RNAcentral.
UACGAAGGGGGCUAGCGUUGCUCGGAAUCACUGGGCGUAAAGGGUGCGUAGGCGGGUCUUUAAGUCAGGGGUGAAAUCCUGGAGCUCAACUCCAGAACUGCCUUUGAUACUGAAAAGCUUGAGUCCGGGAGAGGUGAGUGGAACUGCGAGUGUAGAGGUGAAAUUCGUAGAUAUUCGCAAGAACACCAGUGGCGAAGGCGGCUCACUGGCCCGGUACUGACGCUGAGGUGCGAAAGCGUGGGGAGCAAACAGG